Molecule: ribosomal RNA, 480 nt
Filed under: uncultured organism
Description: partial 16S ribosomal RNA
Rfam family: Bacterial small subunit ribosomal RNA
Source: RNAcentral
CGUACACUCCUGCGGGAGGCAGCAGUGGGGAAUUUUGGACAAUGGGCGAAAGCCUGAUCCAGCCAUGCCGCGUGCAGGAUGAAGGCCUUCGGGUUGUAAACUGCUUUUGUACGGAACGAAACGGCCUUUUCUAAUAAAGAGGGCUAAUGACGGUACCGUAAGAAUAAGCACCGGCUAACUACGUGCCAGCAGCCGCGGUAAUACGUAGGGUGCAAGCGUUAAUCGGAAUUACUGGGCGUAAAGCGUGCGCAGGCGGUUAUGUAAGACAGUUGUGAAAUCCCCGGGCUCAACCUGGGAACUGCAUCUGUGACUGCAUAGCUAGAGUACGGUAGAGGGGGAUGGAAUUCCGCGUGUAGCAGUGAAAUGCGUAGAUAUGCGGAGGAACACCGAUGGCGAAGGCAAUCCCCUGGACCUGUACUGACGCUCAUGCACGAAAGCGUGGGGAGCAAACAGGAUUAGAAACCCUGGUAGUCCCAUGAU